CAGUAGCCGCGGUAAUACGUAGGGGGCAAGCGUUGUCCGGAAUUAUUGGGCGUAAAGCGCGCGCAGGCGGUUUUUUAAGUCUGGUGUCUAAGUGCGGGGCUCAACCCCGUGACGCACUGGAAACUGGGAGACUUGAGUGCAGAAGAGGAGAGCGGAAUUCCACGUGUAGCGGUGAAAUGCGUAGAGAUGUGGAGGAACACCAGUGGCGAAGGCGACUCUCUGGUCUGUAACUGACGCUGAGGAGCGAAAGCGUGGGGAGCGAACAGGAUUAGAUACCCCCGUAGUCCCUGUCUCUUAUACA
Molecule: ribosomal RNA, 301 nt
Filed under: uncultured bacterium
Lineage: Bacteria
Description: partial 16S ribosomal RNA
Rfam family: Bacterial small subunit ribosomal RNA
Source: RNAcentral